GUACUUGUAGCUUAAUUGGAAAAAGCGGUAGACUACGAAUCUAUUGAUUGGGAGUUCGAAUCUUCCCAGGUAUG
Molecule: transfer RNA, 74 nt
Filed under: Imasa heleensis
Lineage: Eukaryota; Malawimonada; Malawimonadea; Malawimonadida; Imasidae
Description: tRNA-Arg
Rfam family: tRNA
About the family: Transfer RNA (tRNA) molecules are approximately 80 nucleotides in length.
Source: RNAcentral